GUCGAGAAUCUUCCGCAAUGGGCGCAAGCCUGACGGAGCGACGCCGCGUGGAGGACGAAGGCCUUCGGGUUGUAAACUCCUGUCGAGGGUUAUGAAUGGCGCCGGGUGAACAGUCCGGCGAGUGACGUAAGCCCUGAAGGAAGCACUGGCUAACUCUGUGCCAGCAGCCGCGGUAAUACAGAGAGUGCGAACGUUGUUCGGAAUCACUGGGCAUAAAGCGCACGUAGGCGGCACCUCAAGUGCGGAGUGAAAUCCCACGGCUUACCCGUGGAACUGCUUCGCAGACUGUGGUGCUCGAGGAUGGUAGGGGAGAGCGGAACUCCUGGUGGAGCGGUGAAAUGCGUAGAGAUCAGGAGGAACACCGGUGGCGAAGGCGGCUCUCUGGUCCAUUACUGACGCUGAGGUGCGAAAGCCAGGGGAGCAAACGGGAUUAGAAACCCCAGUAGUCC
This 449-nucleotide ribosomal RNA is filed under the name uncultured bacterium. Its description in RNAcentral is "bacterial SSU rRNA". It matches the Rfam family "Bacterial small subunit ribosomal RNA", at positions 354 to 796 of the family's 1533-position model. The record is from RNAcentral.